UAUAGAAAAGGAAGGAAAACUUAACAAAAGGUAAUAUAAAAAAAAAAGAGUAAAAAAAAAAAGAAGAAAAAAAUAAAACAAGUAACAAAAUUAAUAAUCGUAACAACGCGAGAGAGAAAUUUCACGUGGAUAUCUCGUCUCGUGGAAAAAAACAUUUUAUCUAAUGAUACUCGUAAUAAAUUAAUGACGUUUUUAAAUUAUUAUAUCGAUUAACGUCCUUCGAAUAGACAGAAUCGCUUUUUUUCUGUUCUUUUUUUUUCCCUAACUUCUUCCUUUUUUAAUGCCAUCCCUUGCUCUUCGAUGUGUGGUGAAAAACGUGUUUGUAGAUUGGAACGUGGACGGGAUAUGGUUUCGCCACGGGAACCGGAAAUUUCUUCUCAACGUAAACUGGAUACGGCUUUUCCACGACGUAAGGAACCUAAAAAUGAAGAUAUAUAAUGUGCCAUUAUAGCCUUCACGCUCGUUUGGAGCUUAUGUCAACGUUAAGAAAAAAAAGAAAAAAAGAAAAAGAGCGGUACUUCAACAUGUUUGACAACUUCAACGGGAUAAGGUUGAGGAAUUUCAACUGGAACUUUAUAAGGUUGUGGUAUAGGUACUUUGAUUUCUUGAGGGAUUUCUACUGGUACAGGAUGCGGUAUUGGAAUAGCUGUAAAAGAUAUAUCAAACGAUAAGAUGGACUUCUAUUAUUUUUCUUCGUAAGUCGAAUCACCAUGAUCCUCCUCAUAAUGGCCGGCAAAGGACGAGGCGAUCAAUGACGAGAUAAGAGCCAAGAAGAUAAUCUGCAAGAAAAAAAAAAAAAAAAUUAGAAAAGAAA
Vespa velutina is the source of this 814-nucleotide long non-coding RNA. RefSeq lists it as uncharacterized. The record is from RefSeq and is a predicted model, not a curated record. The transcript is spliced from 3 exons. NCBI's taxonomy places the organism in Eukaryota, Metazoa, Arthropoda, Insecta, Hymenoptera, Vespidae.